GUGGAAUGAAUUUGAAUCGUGCGACGUAGAGUAAAGCAUCUGUGAAAAUGAUAUAGCAAUAUAGAGUGGGAAAGUGGUCUUACGUUUGGACAAUUAAUAGAAAUAAAAGCAUAGCAGUCUUGUCCAAGACCAGACUACACAGACCGCUGCGCCAUAGUCAAUCAAGCUAUAGUAGGCCUAUAUGCAAAUAAGUAAUUUUCCACAUGGGCCUGCCAUCAUUCACUUUGAACUGGAGUGUAUGUUUUACAGGCAGUAGCAGCAGCAUGACUUUAGACCAUUGGAAAGCAUUUUCCUAAAGCCACAAAAUACACCUGAAUGGUUUUCUGCAAAUACCAUGGGAAUCCAAAUACAUUUGGGAACUGUACAGUCAUAUUGAUCAAAUAACAAUUAACAGGUAGGCUCUCUCCCUCCCUAUGAUCAACAACUAAUUUUAGCCAGAGCGAGACAAGGUAAAAAUCUAAUGGGGCAAGAGUAGAUAACCCUCUCAACCUUUUUCAGCUGUAGAGUCUAGGAUGAAGUUGAGGACACCUGGAGGUGGCAGAUCUUGGAGCCUAACACUGCCACGAAAGACUUGUGGGAGAGAUAACACACCUCAAUUGGAAACUUGAGUGCCAUCCGAACCGAAACAGCUUUGGGGUGGGGAUUCUACUGGCCCCGGCUCGGAGAUGACGAUAGACAUUGGAGUUCCCCCUGUGUGUGCAGAGGAAACCGGGACCAGAGGUGUGGAGGCCCAGACACUGCAGAUGGACCUAGAUGGAUGGGUGAGACACCCAAGGCAAGGACCCAACAUCAGCGAGAGCAAGACACAGAGGAGACCAUCGGCCUGGACUGCCAGUCCUUCGUAUUUGACCAGAGGGAGCGGGACCAAAACAGAUAUACAGACAAUUUAUUGGAACCUUGAGCAGCCUUGCCCCUAUCCGUGCCCAGAUGCAAUUCCAACCCGCACCUGCAGCGAGUUAAGUAAUCAGAAAGGUAGCUGGGGUUUGGCUGUAAUUUCCUUUAAAAGCCAUGUGUUUUGUGGUGUUUGGGGAUAAUGUCUCUCGUGGGGAUAGGUCCCCGAUGCAAGUUGCCAUGUUUGUUUGGGUGUUUGCUGUGAUCACACUGCACCAGUGUCUGCGGGACGAGAAGUCUUACUGGAAAAUUUCAGUAAGGAAGUUGGCUGCUGCGCUGACGAAGAACUGGGGCUGUGGAGCUGAGUGGUGAUCCGAGGCCAGAGGACCGAGGGAGGCAUUGGUUCAAGGAGCUUUAGAUCCGACAGCACCGGAGGCGGGGCCAUCGGUGACAUCGCCAAGCAGAGUCUCAGACCGGGCCCGUUCCAGGACAGGGAGCUGUGCGGAUCUGGAUAUCGCCAUACAGAGACAUUAAUUUAGAUUUUAUGGGGAUAUGGUUUUCAUCGUG
Oncorhynchus tshawytscha (Chinook salmon) is the source of this 1398-nucleotide long non-coding RNA. The record is from Ensembl. Lineage: Eukaryota; Metazoa; Chordata; Actinopteri; Salmoniformes; Salmonidae.